RNAcentral lists this ribosomal RNA (253 nucleotides) under uncultured bacterium. RNAcentral describes it as "partial 16S ribosomal RNA". It matches the Rfam family "Bacterial small subunit ribosomal RNA", at positions 524 to 776 of the family's 1533-position model. The record is from RNAcentral.
GACGAACCGUGCGAACGUUGUUCGGAAUCACUGGGCUUAAAGGGCGCGUAGGCGGCCCGCCGCGUCCGGGGUGAAAUCCUCCCGCUCAACGGGAGAACGGCCUCGGAUACGGGCGGGCUGGAGGCGGGUAGGGGCGGGCGGAACUGUGGGUGGAGCGGUGAAAUGCGUUGAUAUCCACAGGAACUCCGGUGGCGAAGGCGGCCCGCUGGACCCGAUCUGACGCUGAGGCGCGAAAGCCAGGGGAGCGAACAGG